This 1312-nucleotide long non-coding RNA is filed under the name Apteryx haastii (Great spotted kiwi). Its description in RNAcentral is "lncRNA (ENSAHAG00000003805.1)". Lineage: Eukaryota; Metazoa; Chordata; Aves; Apterygiformes; Apterygidae. The record is from RNAcentral.
AUGAUUCAAGUUGGAUCUACUUUCCGUAUCUGUGAGUCUCCUGGCAGAUGCAAAGGAAUAACUACUUACAACUGGCAAAAAGAAUGUCACUUCUCUAGGGAUGCUGUGGACCAUACAGAGAGACUUAGAAGCCAUUCUGGCAACCUGCCUCUGGCCACAGUCAACCUCGGAGCUCCAGAGAACAGAGCCUCUGGGCCAGGAACUGCUCUCAGGUGGUCGCACAAGCACUACCAGGGGGUAGUGAUGGACCUGCACUGUUCUUCCAGCGCUGGGACGAAUACCUGGGCUCCAAGGAAUGAGAGGCCUCCAGCAAAACUCUCUGAUCCCCCUGCUCCCAAAGGACGUCUCCAGCUGAGUGGAAAGGAGUCACCGUCAGGGACACAGACCAUGGAUGGGGCAGAGCUGAAGUUCACAGGAUGUUUCAAACUUGCUCUACUGAGUCCUUAAAGUAUUGUCACCUCUCUCCCUCUUUGCCUCUAAAACCACGCCUGGUGGCUGGCCCCACGCAGUCCCGCUGUGCUUCUCUUACCUGUUGCAGACCUCCAACCAGCUCCCCCCCCCCAAAAGGGGCAGAGCAGUGGGGUGGACAAGACGCUCCUGCCAGGGGUGGCAGUGCCGUAGCUGAGACAUACUGCUGUCUGAGAUCCUGGAGCUGAGCUGGCAUCCCCUGCUCCCUGACCCCAGAGGAAGGAGCAGCUCCCCUCCACUUGGCAGCAGCUCUGCCUCCGAGCUGAGCCUGCCUGGCACAUAGCUGCCGGAGCACAAGCCGGGAGAAAUCCGCCUGCACGGCUGGAGGGAGCCGACUGCCCGGCGAUGCGCGAAGCCCUGCCUCUGCCUGCUCCUCAGAAACGACCUCUUCCAAGUGAACUUAUUGGGCUUCAAGCUGUACCGGGGGGGGGGGGGAAUUAUGUUUUGCAAUAUGGUAUGUGCAUUAACCAUUCCCAGAGUUAACUGCAUUUGACUUUCUUUCCUUUUAGACCAAACUUGCUGUUUCCUACUGGAGUUAUUAAUCUUUAUAUUCACAUUCUUCAUGCAGAACAGACUUGGUCUGCUUCUCCCUUUCCACCCCCUUUCUCCCACACAUGCUCCCUAAAAACCCAACAAUUAACAGUGUGGAUUUUUUUUUUAAUUCCCCUACAUCUGUGUAAUUAUAUUCACAUUAGAAAUCAAUCAACUCUGGUCAUUACCAUUAGUGAUAUGCUCAUAAACCAAACACUAGUCAUGCUAAUGAACUGAAUGAAACAUAAUUUCUUGUUGUGUAAACUGAUGCUCAACUCUAAUCAGCAAUAAAUUCAAUCAGACAUUACUUACA